CACCCCACCCCCGCCCCGUGACGCCGGGGAAACGGACCUGUGACCCCUGCCUGCCGAGGGUCGCUGAACUUUCUGGCGGCGCACAGGAGGCGCGGGCGCGGAAUCCCUCUGACAAGCGAAAACCCGACGGGCGUGAGAGAGGCGCCUUGCAGAUUUCAGUGACCGAAGCACCCCAUCCAGGGAGCAGCAGGAACCAAGGGCCUGCAGACGAAACAUACCGGGCGCGUCGGAGGAGCACAGGGGAGCCCAAACUCGAAAGUGGGUCCUGUACUGAAUCACCUCCCAAGGCAAAGAAGGCCAUCCUGGGACUGCUGGCUUCUCAAGUCACUGCCAACCGAUCAGGCCAGCUGGAGCCACCAACUAGGCUUAGAGCUUUGAUCUGCAAUCAAGUUGUACCAAACAGGUUGGAAAACCGCCUGAUCGCUCCCUGAUACUCCAAAAACACUGAAAAAUGUUCUAACAAGGAGACCACGUUGGGACAAACUGACAGGAACCUCUUUGCGGGGCUAAUAACCCCCUAUAUAGACGUCCUAGAAUUCCUGUUUCUGACUCGUGAUUAGUUGAACGUCCUCCCGUGGGUGUGCAUUUGCCUUUAACUCCUCUGCUCACUCCCCAGAUCACCAUACUCCAGGGAAGUGUGACUCCCUUGUGAGUUCAUGGAGAAGCUAAGGUGGUCAGGGACCUCUGGCCAUUGAAGUAUCCCUCGGGCACUGUGAAGUACCUGUAACAGUCCUAGAGUCCACAGAGAAGGAGUGAGAUGAGUCCUGGGAAGGAAAGAACUAAGAGAGAAGGUUUGCCGAUGAUGCAAUCAAGGGAACCGCAAUCAGGCGGGAAGUAACUUUUCACUUUUCUUGGUGUCGUUCUCUACGCCAGUUUCUUAUGAUAGCCGUUUGCUACCUAAUGCCCACCCCAACUACCCGAUCGUCCCAGGAGAGCGGUAGUGACGAGGUGAGCCCCAUCUGUAGCAUCCUAGACAAAGGCAGAGAUUCUCCUAGUUCUUAAUCACUCGCUUUUCUGCCUGAGCGCCCCUUCCCCAUCUGUGAUCAUACCUCUCCUCAACUUUCACAUAAGCCCUGGCUUUAUUUCAUAUACUCCUCACAGCGCCUGCACAGACACCACUCUUCUCCCUUCUCAUAGGGGAGGAAAUAGUGACUUGCCCAGACCACGGAGUGAGGCACCUGCACUCCUGACUCAGCCAUACCCCCGCCUCGUCACAGUGGGAGCACUGCUCCUUCGACAGGCACUCGUCACCACCUGAAUGUUUCCCCCACUGUUCAUCCUCCCCUGAGAGGUCAGAAAAAUAGAGGGUGUUUCACUUCUGGUCUAAAACUAACAAAAUGCUUUCCCUUGAUUCAAUCCUUUUCUAUUCUAUGACGUGUUCCUUUUUUGUACCUUUGACCUUUCGUUCUGGACUCACUCCUUUUCAUGAACAAACAUAUGGUCCUUUUCACCCCCUUGUGCAAAAUAAUAUUUUCCAUUUCAGUGAUUUAUUUAGCAGAAUGCUGAUGCCAUGAAACUCAGACUCUGGAAGGGGCGAUGAGAUAUGGAUUAGUGUUGCAUGGACAUUAGAUGCACAGAGUUCAAGGAGGGAGAGAGUGCUUAUCACCAGAGAGGUGGUAGGUUUUCGUAGAGGACCUGGGCUAGAAGACUAGCCUUCUGGGUGUCUGGGAGAACUUCUGGGAGAACUUCUGCAGGCAGAAAUUGGAAAGGGGGCACCAAGCAGGGUGAACACCAUAAGAAAAGGCAUAGAGGCAGGACAGCCUACAGAAUACCUGGCAAAGGGUGUGUGACCAGUUUGGGUGGGCACAGGGAACACUGGGGAGAGGUAGAAGGUGAGGUUUUAUCCUAGGAUAAAACCUCAUAGGUAACAGGUAGGAACGUGGCAUUGGGCAAUGUGAAUUGGGGAGAUUAUUCUGGUGGCAAAGUUUAGGAUAGAUCAGAAUUCGGUACACUGAAGGUGGAAAGGACUAGUUGAGAGGCUACUGCAAUAGUCCAGGUAACAACUACUAAAUUCCUGUUCUGUCCUCGAAUAGUAACAACAGCAUCGGGAAAAAACUCGGAUGUUUGAGAGACAUUUUAGAGGUGAAAGUCACUGUUGUUCGGGGCAAAGGGAAGGGGAACUCAAAGAUAUCUUAGCCUGAGCGCAUGUAAUGUGAAGAUGAUGAUGUUGAACAGAAACAGAAAGUUAUAAAGAUGAGCAGGCUUAUAGGAGUAGGGCACGAGUUCGGUUUUGACCAUGUUGAGGUACAGCUGUCAGUGGGACAUUCCUGAUGAGACCGAAUCCAGCAGGCAUGUUGAAACCUGGCAACUCUGGAAAGCAGUCAGAGUUGGAAAUACACAGUCGAGAACAUUUUGCACGUAACCAGAAGUUCUUAGAAAGUGCAGAGCGUUUAGCAAGGGUGCAAGUGGGAGGGACGUGAGAUUGAAUAGAAACCAUGUUGUAUUCACCCCCUCAACCCAACCCCCUUUCUUGCGUGCGAUGGGGGCUCAAGAAAUAUCAACGAGAUAAAUGAAUUGUGAGAUGCUCAUUGUAUGUUUGCUAAGUUAAUAAAGGAAAGAAGUAAAUAAAAAACCCAAAUGACGGGUGAUGAA
This is a long non-coding RNA of Felis catus (domestic cat), 2592 nucleotides long. RefSeq lists it as uncharacterized. The record is from RefSeq and is a predicted model, not a curated record. NCBI's taxonomy places the organism in Eukaryota, Metazoa, Chordata, Mammalia, Carnivora, Felidae. The transcript has 3 exons.